This 383-nucleotide ribosomal RNA is filed under the name Enterococcus casseliflavus. RNAcentral's name for it is "bacterial SSU rRNA". It matches the Rfam family "Bacterial small subunit ribosomal RNA", at positions 96 to 474 of the family's 1533-position model. The record is from RNAcentral. Lineage: Bacteria; Bacillati; Bacillota; Bacilli; Lactobacillales; Enterococcaceae.
UGGCAAACGGGUGAGUAACACGUGGGUAACCUGCCCAUCAGAAGGGGGUAACACUUGGAAACAGGUGCUAAUACCGUAUAACACUAUUUUCCGCAUGGAAGAAAGUUGAAAGGCGCUUUUGCGUCACUGAUGGAUGGACCCGCGGUGCAUUAGCUAGUUGGUGAGGUAACGGCUCACCAAGGCAACGAUGCAUAGCCGACCUGAGAGGGUGAUCGGCCACACUGGGACUGAGACACGGCCCAGACUCCUACGGGAGGCAGCAGUAGGGAAUCUUCGGCAAUGGACGAAAGUCUGACCGAGCAACGCCGCGUGAGUGAAGAAGGUUUUCGGAUCGUAAAACUCUGUUGUUAGAGAAGAACAAGGAUGAGAGUAAACUUUCAUCC